RNAcentral lists this ribosomal RNA (1021 nucleotides) under Sclerophora sanguinea. RNAcentral describes it as "SSU rRNA". It matches the Rfam family "Eukaryotic small subunit ribosomal RNA", at positions 72 to 1104 of the family's 1831-position model. The record is from RNAcentral. Lineage: Eukaryota; Fungi; Ascomycota; Coniocybomycetes; Coniocybales; Coniocybaceae.
GUCUAUACGGUGAAACUGCGAAUGGCUCAUUAAAUCAGUUAUCGUUUAUUUGAUAGUACCUUUCUACUUGGAUAACCGUGGUAAUUCUAGAGCUAAUACAUGCUAAAAACCCCGACUCACGAAGGGGUGUAUUUAUUAGAUAAAAAGCCAACGCCCUUCGGCUGCGUGGUGAUUCAUAAUAACUUCACGAAUCGCAUGGCCUUGCGCCGGCGAUGGUUCAUUCAAAUUUCUGCCCUAUCAACUUUCGAUGGUAGGAUAGUGGCCUACCAUGGUGUCAACGGGUAACGGGGAAUAAGGGUUCGAUUCCGGAGAGGGAGCCUGAGAAACGGCUACCACAUCCAAGGAAGGCAGCAGGCGCGCAAAUUACCCAAUCCCAACACGGGGAGGUAGUGACAAUAAAUACUGAUACAGGGCUCUUUAGGGUCUUGUAAUUGGAAUGAGUACAAUCUAAAUCCCUUAACGAGGAACAAUUGGAGGGCAAGUCUGGUGCCAGCAGCCGCGGUAAUUCCAGCUCCAAUAGCGUAUAUUAAAGUUGUUGCAGUUAAAAAGCUCGUAGUUGAACCUUGGGCCUGGCUGGCCGGUCCCCCUAACCGGGUGCACUGGACCGGCCGGGCCUUUCCUCCUGGGGAGCCACAUGCCCUUCACUGGGUGUGUCGGGGAACCAGGACUUUUACUUUGAGAAAAUUAGAGUGUUCAAAGCAGGCCUAUGCUCGAAUACUUCAGCAUGCAAUAAUAGAAUAGAACGUGCGGUUCUAUUUUGUUGGUUUCUAGGACCGCCGUAAUGAUUAAUAGGGACAGUCGGGGGCAUCCGUAUUGAACUGUCAGAGGUGAAAUUCUUGGAUUUGUUCAAGACGAACUACUGCGAAAGCAUUUGCCAAGGAUGUUUUCAUUAAUCAAGAACGAAAGUUAGGGGAUCGAAGACGAUCAGAUACCGUCGUAGUCUUAACCAUAAACUAUGCCGACUAGGGAUCGGGCGACGUUAUUUUGUUGACUCGCUCGGCACCUUACGAGAAAUCAAAGU